RNAcentral lists this ribosomal RNA (441 nucleotides) under uncultured bacterium. RNAcentral describes it as "partial 16S ribosomal RNA". It matches the Rfam family "Bacterial small subunit ribosomal RNA", at positions 338 to 795 of the family's 1533-position model. The record is from RNAcentral.
CCUACGGGUGGCAGCAGUGGGGAAUAUUGCACAAUGGGCGAAACCCUGAUGCAGCGACGCCGCGUGAGUGAAGAAGGAUUUCGGGAUGUAAAGCUCUAUCAGCAGGGAAGAAGAAAGACGGUACCUUACUAAGAAGCCCCGGCUAACUACGUGCCAGCAGCAGCGGUAAUACGUAGGGGGCAAGCGUUAGCCGGAUUUACUGGGCGUAAAGGGAGCGUAGACGGCUGGGUAAGUCUGAAGUGAAAGCCCCGGGCUCAACCCUGGGACUGCUUUUGAAACUGUGGAGCUAGAGUGCUGGAGAGGUAAGUAGAAUUCCUGGUGUAGCGGUGAAAUGCGUAGAUAUUAGGAGGAACACCAGUGGCGAAGGCGGCUUCCUGGACAGUAACUGACGUUGAGGCGCGAAAGCGUGGGGAGCAAACAGGAUUAGAUACCCGGGUAGUC